RNAcentral lists this ribosomal RNA (566 nucleotides) under uncultured bacterium. RNAcentral describes it as "partial 16S ribosomal RNA". It matches the Rfam family "Bacterial small subunit ribosomal RNA", at positions 355 to 939 of the family's 1533-position model. The record is from RNAcentral.
UGGGGAAUAUUGCACAAUGGGCGAAAGCCUGAUGCAGCAACGCCGCGUGAGUGAUGAAGGCCUUCGGGUUGUAAAGCUCUGUCUUUUGGGACGAUAAUGACGGUACCAAAGGAGGAAGCCACGGCUAACUACGUGCCAGCAGCCGCGGUAAUACGUAGGUGGCAAGCGUUGUCCGGAUUUACUGGGCGUAAAGGAUGCGUAGGCGGAUUUUUAAGUGAGAUGUGAAAUACCCGGGCUUAACUUGGGUGCUGCAUUUCAAACUGGGAAUCUAGAGUGCGGGAGAGGAGAAUGGAAUUCCUAGUGUAGCGGUGAAAUGCGUAGAGAUUAGGAAGAACACCAGUGGCGAAGGCGAUUCUCUGGACCGUAACUGACGCUGAGGCAUGAAAGCGUGGGUAGCAAACAGGAUUAGAUACCCUGGUAGUCCACGCCGUAAACGAUGAGUACUAGGUGUAGGAGGUAUCGACCCCUUCUGUGCCGCAGUUAACACAAAUCAAGUACUCCGCCUGGGAAGUACGAUCGCAAGAUUAAAAACUCAAAAGGAAUUGACGGGGUCAAUAGCUGUUUCC